CCCACACCUGCUGAGGUCCCACAUCUACUGAGGCCCAUCCCUGCUGUGGCUGCAUAGCUGCCUGCAUCCACCCCAGAGCCUGUGGCUUCUCCCUUCUUCCUGCCUAAGUGGGUCUGGAGACAGGGGUGUGGACAAGGCCCUGGGUUCUGAGUCCCGCCCUCAGGCCUGGGAGUGGGGACAGGUGGCACCUGUGUCAACACCAGCAGGCAGGAACCUGGGUUCACCUUUGGGACCCCCUGCCCACCCCAGGUGAGGGCCAGCACAUGGCAGCCUGGCCUCCCAGGACUCAGGUCCUGCCUGGGGAGAAUCCGCACGCGUGGUGUACUGCCAUUGCCUCCAGAUGCCCAGCCACAUAGCUGGAAAGAAAGGAGCAACGAUUUAAAAUAAUCACAGUGAAAACUCAUUGAAAAAAAUGCUGUUCACUGUGGACGGCCACAUAUAGACUGCAAGCUAGACCAUAGAUUCUGGUUAUAUUCUGUGAAUAUUUAUUGCACUUUCUAAAUGCCAGGCAAGUUUCUAAGCACUGAGCAUACAUUCCAAGAAGAUAUUCUAGAAAUCCCCACCUUCUGGAAGUCACCUUCCACCAGAGGCCGUCAGAUAAUCAGAAAAUAAAUAUAUAAAAUGUCAGGUGGGAUGUGUCCUAGGGGAAGAUGAAUCAGGAGAAUGGUAGGAUGAGGCAGGAGGUAGGAGAGGUUGGCGGGGGCGGUGAUGCCUUACGGGAGGGCAGCAUGACAUUUGAGGAGUGGCGCAAGGAAGGACACAGGCCUGUGGAUGUGCGAUGGAGGACGUCCCCUGCAGAGGGAGUGGCUGGAAAAAGCUGGUGGGGACAGAGCCGGUAGACGGUGGGGUGGGGCUGGUGGGACUCGCCACUGGAAUGCUUGCAGACUGUGACACAGGUUUUGUGUUUUGCUUGGAGUGAGGUGGGAAGGCACCAAGAAGAUCUGAGAGGAGAAGCGAGGGAAUCUGACCAGAGAUUUAAAAGGAUUGUGCCUAUGGGGCGCCGUGGCUCACACCUGCAAUCCAACACCCUAGGAGGCUGAGGAGGGAGGAUCACUUGAGCUGGGGAGGUCGAGGCUUCCAUGAGCCCUGUUCAUGCCACUGCACUUCAGCCUGGGUGACAGAGCAAGACCCCGUCUCUAAAAAACAAAGCAAAAUGAGUAAAAAAGAAAGGAUCGCAGGGAUGAUUGUGUUGACAACAGAACCCAGCAGCUGCCUCUAGAAGGGCCCUGUGUUGGGCUCGGUGCUCUCCUGGGCAACCCUGAAAUCCUUAGUCAUUUUUUAAGGAGAGGCUGGUGUUAGUGCCCAGGGCUAUAGACCAGGCGGCUUCCCCAGAAGACACUCAUUCUUUCCUUCUCGGGGGGGCUGGAUCUGAGGUCAGGGUGUCCGUGUGCAGGGGCUGCCUUCUCACUGUGUCCUCACAGGGCCAUCCCUCUGUGUGCAUCUGGGUCUUAACUGCCUCUUUUUAUAAGGAUGCCAGUCCUGCUGGGUGAGGACCUACCCAUGCGGCCUUAUUUUACCCAAAUCACAUCUGUAAAUGCCCGGUCUCCAGACGCAGCUACAUCUCGCAGCCCUGGGAACAGGCCUCUGUGUAUGAAUUUUGGGGGACACCACUCAGCCUGACGAUCCCUCUGUUCUGAGUAUUUGGGCCUGGGCAACUGGAAGAGGGGGGACCCUGGUUAUUAACUUGGGGAGACCAAGUCCAGCUUUCCUGGAUGGAGGGGAAAAAUGGGAGUUUCUCCCCUCUGAGUCCGAAACAAAAUUGUGCAGUUGUCUAGUGGAAAACGGACACAGGUGUGCUGUUCAGGGGAGCAGGGGAGACGGGGACGUGACCUGGGCGUAGACUUUAAUGGAAGCCCUCUCGGUGGUGGAGCAUGGAGAAGCCUCGGUGUCAGAGCAUGAGGAGGAGCAAGGUGAGUAGCAUGUGUGCAGAGGGUGCACCUGCUGAAGAAACCAGGGACUGCUGUGUCCCCGACACCAAGCAAAGGAAGGUGUUAACAGAGGGGCCUGAGGUUGACGGUGGCCGUGGGGGCCUAGGGGACUAGGAUGGGGACUGUCCCCUGGAUCUGGCUCUGAUGGUCAGUGCAGGGGCAGCGUCCGCCUGGACGGGAGAAAGAGCCCAGAGGGGAGGAGGGGAGGAAGGCUCAGGCCGCAGCUGCUCAUCUCAGCAGGUCUUUCCUCCAAACUCCUCCUGGCUCACAGACUCUCAGGAAAUCACACCAGAAAGCAAAGGAGAGUGCCAUUACUCUGGAGGCCAUUUGAUUAAGCCCACUCUAAUUGUUUGUUAGUUCCCAAACAGCAAAUUUUUGUAUUUUCAUUAUUAGUAGUUAAAAAUUACUUGGAUACUCCACGGUUGGCAGAGUUAUGCAGACGGUCUCACCUGCGGGCUGCACGCAGCCGCUCCGUGGCGCACACAUGUUCUGCCGAAGUCCACGUUUCCGUGCAGCCCUCACCACCUGGACGCCAGGGCGGCGCGGGGGAGCCCUCACCUCACGCCUCACCCGGUGUGGACGUGGCACCUGCUCGCUGCCCCUCCCCUCUGAGCAGCUCCGUCUGCACACUGCGAACUGCAUCGGUGCGGUUGUGAUGAAACCAUUUCGCAUUUACUGAGUGUGCACGCACUCAAUUACAACACGAACAUGUGAAACCAGAACAACGCACAGGAGGAAGAUACGGUGUUUCGUCCUGUUGCCCAGGCUGGUCUUCUAGGCUCAGCCAUCUGCCCAGCUCAGCCUCCCCAAGUGCUGGGAUUAUGGGAGUGAGCCACCUCGCCCAGCCUAAAAUCCAUUUUAAAAAAACAUGAGAAAUGAUUUGCAUUUGGGACUGAAGAAGAAUGAAAGGCACCUGUAGUUUUGACGCCAAGAAAGCCUAGUUAUACCUUUAUUUUAUUAACCUACUAUUCACCAGGUUUCUGAGUGUGGUUUCUCAGUGUGACCCUAACCCGUCUUAGGAGAGGCGGUGCUAGGAACUGCUAUAGGGGGGCACAGCAGGUGGUCCCUAAAGUUGUGAUGCUCAAGAGAUUCACAGAAUAUCUGAAGAAAAAAGACACGUUUGUUUUUGCAUUUUCUGUGGUUUUGCUGUUGUUGUUCAUCACAAAGUUUGCAGGUUUGCUACAAUUGUGAACAUUCAGAACAAAACACAGAAUAAGAUAAAAAUCAUCAGCUAUGCAAUUGUUUGUUUUUUAAAUACACAUUCUCAAGAUUUUGGUGUUGCUUUUUCUCAGGAUUUUUCUCUGGGAACAUGUUUAUCUUUUCCUGUAGCUGGAAUGACACUCAAUUUUUAGUUUGGGUUUCUUCUUUUAUUCAUCAUUAUCCUGUGGCAAGUGUUUCCCCAGGGUAUGAAAUAUUAUUAAAAGUACAGACUUUAAGGGCUGUUUUGCUGUUUAUCACGUGUAUCAUAAUGUAUUUAAUGCUCCCCAUCUUUUUUUGAAUAUUUAAGUAGCUUUCUGGGUUGAAAUCUUGUAAAUUACACUGCAAUAAAUGUGUUUAUCAUUGGUGCACAU
RNAcentral lists this long non-coding RNA (3499 nucleotides) under Homo sapiens (human). RNAcentral describes it as "HSALNT0157663". Lineage: Eukaryota; Metazoa; Chordata; Mammalia; Primates; Hominidae. The record is from RNAcentral.